UGUCUAUUAAUUGUAGACCAGCAUGAAAGGCAAUAUGAGGGUCUAACUGUCUCUUAUAAUAAAUCAAUUAAACUGAUCUUCUAGUAAAAAAGCUAGAAUUACACCAUAAGACCAGAAGACCCUGUGAAGCUUAAACUAAACUAUUAAAACAAAUAAUAGCUAUUUUCGGUUGGGGCGACCUUGGAAAAAAAAAGAACUUCCAUAAACCAAUAACUACCACGCAGGCCCACAAGCCACACAUAUGACCCAGCAUAGCUGAUCAUUGAACCAAGUUACUCCAGGGAUAACAGCGCUAUCUUCUUCAAGAGCCCAUAUCAAAAAGAAGGUUUACGACCUCGAUGUUGGAUCAGGACAUCCUAACGGCGCA
Molecule: ribosomal RNA, 367 nt
Filed under: Oxyrhopus formosus
Lineage: Eukaryota; Metazoa; Chordata; Lepidosauria; Squamata; Dipsadidae
Description: partial 16S ribosomal RNA
Rfam family: Bacterial large subunit ribosomal RNA
Source: RNAcentral